Long non-coding RNA from Balaenoptera musculus (blue whale), 2216 nucleotides. RefSeq lists it as uncharacterized. The transcript has 2 exons. Lineage: Eukaryota; Metazoa; Chordata; Mammalia; Artiodactyla; Balaenopteridae. The record is from RefSeq and is a predicted model, not a curated record.
CCCGUGUCCCCUGCAUUAGCAGGCAGAUUCUCAACCACUGCGCCACCAGGGAAGCCCCCCGUGUGUUGCUUUUUGAUUUAGCAACUCCUAACUGAUAACAUCACGUCACUUACUACCACUCAGUUUGCCCUUGAAGACUGUGGUGAUCUGACCUCACACACAGUCCAUGAUUCUGGAUGUUGCUCCAAACCCAGCUUUCAGAACUCAGGACCCCUAUCUGGAAGGCAGAGGUUGAUCAAAAUUCCUGAGUUACCCAGUUCCUCUGGGCUUCAGUUUGACUCUGACCCUGGGAUAAUCCCUAAAGUAGGGGCUUAAUCUGUGCAGACAUUCCCCCAGCCAGUUCUGCACUGUAGUUACGCUACACACAGCAGUCAGGGGCAUGCUCAGCUUCGGAUGUGAUGGUCCCAUCCCUAGAGAUGUUCUGGGCCACUGCCACUUCUGUGACUUGCCAUUUCCUGAUGUGCAUCUGACAAGGGAGGUUAGAGCCUCAAGGGAGUUGUCAAAAGUCUCUCACCCACUUUUUCCCUUGGCUGGGCAGUCCUCUGUGUCCACUGCAUUAGCGUAUAUUUGUUACUCCCAGAAUAUUGAACUGCUGCAUCCUAGUUCUUGCCCUGCUUUUGUCUACUUUUCUGAAGGUAUCAACUCUGUUCACAGAAAACACAGAGAGCUUUGAAUUUCUGAUUUUGCAUUUGGAAGUGGCCAUUUCCUGUCCUCCACCUGGGUAUUCCACCACUUAAAGAUUACCCCAUUCUGACAGUGGUGAGCAGCAUGUUGAGUAAUUCCAUGGAGUAGUCAACAGCACCAUGACAUUCUCUGGCAGGGGCAGUGUCCACGCCCAGAAGUCUGAGUGAUACUCUAGUCCUGCAGCCUCUGGGGGCACCUCCCCUUCCCCACCACAAAGAAUGGGGAGCCCACACUACUGCAGGCUGGAGCACACUACAGCAUGAAGGUAGAAGAGCAAGUCAACUGUUGUCUGGGAAGCAGUGUGACAGGUUCCUGGUCUGUGGAAGUGCUCUCUAUCAAGUUGGGCAACUGCCGGCCCCUACAAAUGCUGCACCUCAGCUCCAAGUUACAGGAGAAGAUAGUCUGUCAUGGUGGAAUCAGGACUUCAGGUUGAACGUAGACUUGGAAGCUUCCAGCAGCUUUAAAUACCCAAGUUCUCUAAAUUCAGCUCCCACCUAAUACAGGCCACCUGUGUGGGUAGGCAUCUCCUGUUAGAUGAUCAGCAACUCAUCCUUUCUCCCCUAUUGAGCUUCAGGUGAAGCAGCAUUUCAAGAGGUUGCUUGGAACUCUCCAUGCCCUGGGCUCACACAUGUUCAUCUGCAGCCUCACAUGGCUGGCAACCCGAUUCCACUAUAAACUUGGAAAACUGCUCACUGCUACAGAGAUCUGCCUUCAGUACUAUCCCUGUGGCCCGCCUUGUCCUCACUAUUACCUCCUUGCCUUGAAUCCCUCACAAGGAACAUAUUUCUCAGCUCGCUUUGUUGUUCCUUUUGUUUGUUUUUAAUGAGAGCUGCUGCCCCUUGGAAUGUGCUUGCAGUUGGGCUAAGGCCAAGACCUGCUGCCACUCAUCCCAGGGGCAGCUCCAGCAGCUGUUCUUCCACCAGCAUUAGUGCAAUCUGAAAGCCCUCCAUAUGAUUACAGUCCACUUUCCCUGAGCCCACCACUGUCAGGCUUGGGUCUUCAUGAAAUUAGACCUCUGAGAUGCCUAGUCACUCAUCCCUGGCUGGGGAGGCAAAAAGUAAAUGGCCUAUUAGAAAUGCCUGAGUCAACUUGGAUAUAUUUAUGAUAGUACUCUUUAUCUGACCAGACCAUUAGCAGUGGCUUUAUUAUAUUCUGCCAUAUGAUUAACACCUUAUGGUAUGACCUUCUCAACUAAGUGAGCCAAAAUUUGCCUGGGUGCUAUUUCAUACUUUUUAAAUCUGAAGUAGGUUUUCCACACUGGCAGUCUGACCUUUGGCUUAACCCCCCAGAAUUGCGUUUUUGAGAACUCUGAGUUAAAGUCCCUCAGCCACCUUUUCUUCUGCCAGCUGAUCUGCAUGGUAUUAGACAAGAGUUGAGCAAUUAUUUAUUUUUUUAAAUUUCUUUAACAUACUUUAUUUCAUAGUAUUUUUCAUGAAUACCUUGUUAUAGAAAAAGUCUAAAGUAAUGUAGAUAAUAUUAAGCUUAUAUUGGUGAAUUAGUUUAUAAAAAAUAUAUUCAUAUGAAUUGUCUUA